Molecule: ribosomal RNA, 492 nt
Filed under: uncultured bacterium
Lineage: Bacteria
Description: partial 16S ribosomal RNA
Rfam family: Bacterial small subunit ribosomal RNA
Source: RNAcentral
AGUGAACGCUGGCGGUAGGCCUAACACAUGCAAGUCGAACGGCAGCACAGUAAGAGCUUGCUCUUACGGGUGGCGAGUGGCGGACGGGUGAGGAAUACAUCGGAAUCUACUUUUUCGUGGGGGAUAACGUAGGGAAACUUACGCUAAUACCGCAUACGACCUACGGGUGAAAGCAGGGGAUCUUCGGACCUUGCGCGAUUGAAUGGGCCGAUGUCGGACUAGCUAGUUGGCGGGGUAAAGGCCCACCAAGGCGACGAUCCGUAGCUGGUCUGAGAGGAUGAUCAGCCACACUGGAACUGAGACGCGGUCCAGAGUCCUACGGGAGGCAGCAGUGGGGAAUAUGGGGCAAUGGGCGCAAGCCUGAUCCAGCCAUACCGCGUGGGUGAAGAAGGCCUUCGGGUUGUAAAGCCCUUUUGUUGGGAAAGAAAAGCAGCAGGUUAAUACCCCGCUGUUCUGACGGUACCCAAAAAAUAAGCACCGGCUAACUUCGUG